This 1178-nucleotide long non-coding RNA is filed under the name Macaca mulatta (Rhesus monkey). RNAcentral describes it as "lncRNA (ENSMMUG00000055605.1)". Lineage: Eukaryota; Metazoa; Chordata; Mammalia; Primates; Cercopithecidae. The record is from RNAcentral.
GAAGAAGAGGGAGGGAAGAGUGCUGAGAAAGUUGAUUUAGCAAAACAGAUUUUGUCUCCACCUAGAAGGACCAGUUGUGCCCAGAGAACCUUCUCUGUCUCCUCUAACUGUGGGAUAAAAGGAGAUUUCCACAAAAGCGAAUCAGGGACAUGGCCCAUCUCUUAAGAAGGAGGCUCUGAGAGGACAAGAACCCGGAUGCAGCGCGUGGCAUGAGGCAGUUUCGGGAUGCCCUUGUCAGGCAGAGGAUGGCUCAGUGGCCUCUGGCCCAGCUAAGAUUUCAUGAACUUUACUCCUGGUCCCGCUCCCAAAUUAGACACUGGAGAUAAUGGAUCACUAUACUGCACUGAAGACUCGGAUGGUUUGAGCCGCUGGAGCCCCGCAAAUUCAGGCACCUCCUCCACCCCAGGCCACUCUACUCCCCAGUGCUGCCUCCCACACCCAUCCGGUUGUGCGGGACACUCCCCGCGUUUCUUCGGCAAGUCUCAUCGGGCUCCCUCCUUCUUCGAUAAAGGUGAAGGGUGUGGGGUUUUCUGUGCUUGCUCAGGAAGUUGAGUCCUGGUGAAACGUGUCAGGCUGCCAUUUCCCAGGCUGGAAGAUUUUCCCAGGACGAGGAUGAAUAGGCCAUGAAAGUGCACACUCUUACCCGACAGCCCGACCCAGGUGCCAGGCUUCUGACUCAGGACCAUCUGUGGGUGCCAGUGCAGGGAGGUGAGUCACUGCAGCCUUGCUCAAUCCCCCUGCAGAGGUCAGCUCCUGGGCCCCAAAAGUUGCUCCAGGAUGAAAGCAACUCCACUGCUUUCAGUGAGACUAAAAUCCUGGUCAUCUGCGAUCUGCAGAGUCACAGACAUGUAACCCAAAUAAAGAUCUGGAUGAUGGUCUGGCUCCUAGUUUGGUGAUACUAGCAUGUUUGAGCACUGGGGAACUCUAUCUUAACAUGCGGCCAAUAGUUACUGCCCUCACAGGAUUUGGGAAGGAAAAAGCAAGACAGUAUUUGAUAUGUAGAGAUGGUCAAUGAAGUAGCAUGACCAAGAACCAGAAACACUAGAAAUGAACCAUCUGGGCAGCCUGUGGAACAGUGAGGUUAGCUUUCACUGCUGUUGUUUGUUUAUCUGAUGUUAUUCAGAGUUGAUUUCUUUUGUUUUAAACCAUUAACCACUCAGGAUCCUCUUAACAUCUUC